RNAcentral lists this ribosomal RNA (310 nucleotides) under uncultured Psychromonas sp. RNAcentral's name for it is "bacterial SSU rRNA". It matches the Rfam family "Bacterial small subunit ribosomal RNA", at positions 30 to 334 of the family's 1533-position model. The record is from RNAcentral. Lineage: Bacteria; Pseudomonadati; Pseudomonadota; Gammaproteobacteria; Alteromonadales; Psychromonadaceae.
AUUGAACGCUGGCGGCAGGCUUAACACAUGCAAGUCGAACGGAAACAGAAAGUAGCUUGCUACUUUGCUGUCGAGUGGCGGACGGGUGAGUAAUGCUUGGGAAUAUGCCUUUACGUGGGGGACAACAGUUGGAAACGACUGCUAAUACCGCAUAAUGUCUUCGGACCAAAGCAGGGGACCUUCGGGCCUUGCGCGUAAAGAUUAGCCCAAGUGGGAUUAGCUAGUUGGUAAGGUAAUGGCUUACCAAGGCGACGAUCCCUAGCUGGUCUUAGAGGAUGACCAGCCACACUGGAACUGAGACACGGUCCAG